GACAAACGCUGGCGGCGUGCUUAACACAUGCAAGUCGAACGGGGUGCCUUAGAUUGAAGCUUCGGCAGAUUUCUUGGUUACCUAGUGGCGGACGGGUGAGUAACACGUGAGUAACCUGCCCUUGAGUGGGGAAUAACACACCGAAAGGUGUGCUAAUACCGCAUAACAUAUCAGAAUCGCAUGUUUUUGAUAUCAAAGAUUUAUUGCUCAAGGAUGGGCUCGCGUCCCAUUAGCUAGUUGGUGAGAUAACAGCCCACCAAGGCGACGAUGGGUAACCGACCUGAGAGGGUGAUCGGUCACACUGGAACUGAGAGACGGUCCAGACUCCUACGGGAGGCAGCAGUGGGGAAUAUUGGGCAAUGGGGGAAACCCUGACCCAGCAACGCCGCGUGAGGGAAGAAGGCCUUCGGGUUGUAAACCUCUGUCCUUGGGGACGAACAAAUGACUGUACCCAAGGAGGAAGCUCCGGCUAACUACGUG
RNAcentral lists this ribosomal RNA (480 nucleotides) under uncultured bacterium. RNAcentral describes it as "bacterial SSU rRNA". It matches the Rfam family "Bacterial small subunit ribosomal RNA", at positions 28 to 507 of the family's 1533-position model. The record is from RNAcentral.